This 67-nucleotide transfer RNA is filed under the name Acidnotermes praus. RNAcentral's name for it is "tRNA-Ile". The record is from RNAcentral. Lineage: Eukaryota; Metazoa; Arthropoda; Insecta; Blattodea; Termitidae.
AAUGAUGAGCCUGAUUAAAGGACUAUCGUGAUAGGAUAAAACAUGUAGUUAAACACUACCCUCAUUA